GGUUUUUAAAGCCUCACUGUGACCCAGGUCUGUAGGUUUUUAAAGCCUCACUGUGACCGAGGUCUGUAGGUUUCUAAAGCCUCGCUGUGACCCAGGUCUGUAGGUUUUUAAAGCCUCGCUGUGACCCGGUCUGUAGGUUUUUUAAAGCCUCGCUGUGACCCAGGUCUGUAGGUUUUUAAAAGCCUCACUGUGACCGCAGGUCUGUAGGUUUUUAAAGCCUCACUGUGACCAGGUCUGUAGGUUUUUAAAAGCCUCACUGUGACAAAGGUCUGUAGGUAUUUUAAAGCCUCACUGUGACCCAGGUUGUAGGUUUUUUAAGCCUCACUGUGACCCAGGUCUGUAGGUUUUCUAAAGCCUCACUGUGACCCAGGUCUGUAGGUUUCUAAAGCCUCACUGUGACCCAGGUCUGUAGGUUUCUAAACCCUCACUGUGAC
Long non-coding RNA from Salvelinus sp. IW2-2015, 434 nucleotides. RefSeq lists it as uncharacterized. The record is from RefSeq and is a predicted model, not a curated record. NCBI's taxonomy places the organism in Eukaryota, Metazoa, Chordata, Actinopteri, Salmoniformes, Salmonidae.